UACGGAGGGGGCUAGCGUUGUUCGGAAUUACUGGGCGUAAAGCGCACGUAGGCGGCUUUGUAAGUUAGAGGUGAAAGCCCGGGGCUCAACUCCGGAAUUGCCUUUAAGACUGCAUCGCUAGAAUUGUGGAGAGGUAAGUGGAAUUCCGAGUGUAGAGGUGAAAUUCGUAGAUAUUCGGAAGAACACCAGUGGCGAAGGCGGCUCACUGGACCGGUAUUGACGCUGAGGUGCGAAAGCGUGGGGAGCAAACAGG
This 253-nucleotide ribosomal RNA is filed under the name uncultured bacterium. Its description in RNAcentral is "partial 16S ribosomal RNA". It matches the Rfam family "Bacterial small subunit ribosomal RNA", at positions 524 to 776 of the family's 1533-position model. The record is from RNAcentral.